This 632-nucleotide ribosomal RNA is filed under the name uncultured Streptococcus sp. RNAcentral's name for it is "bacterial SSU rRNA". It matches the Rfam family "Bacterial small subunit ribosomal RNA", at positions 28 to 656 of the family's 1533-position model. The record is from RNAcentral. Lineage: Bacteria; Bacillati; Bacillota; Bacilli; Lactobacillales; Streptococcaceae.
GACGAACGCUGGCGGCGUGCCUAAUACAUGCAAGUAGAACGCUGAAGAGAGGAGCUUGCUCUUCUUGGAUGAGUUGCGAACGGGUGAGUAACGCGUAGGUAACCUGCCUUGUAGCGGGGGAUAACUAUUGGAAACGAUAGCUAAUACCGCAUAACAAUGGAUGACACAUGUCAUUUAUUUGAAAGGGGCAAUUGCUCCACUACAAGAUGGACCUGCGUUGUAUUAGCUAGUAGGUGAGGUAACGGCUCACCUAGGCGACGAUACAUAGCCGACCUGAGAGGGUGAUCGGCCACACUGGGACUGAGACACGGCCCAGACUCCUACGGGGAGGCAGCAGUAGGGAAUCUUCGGCAAUGGGGGCAACCCUGACCGAGCAACGCCGCGUGAGUGAAGAAGGUUUUCGGAUCCGUAAAGCUCUGUUGUAAGUCAAGAACGAGUGUGAGAGUGGAAAGGUCACACUGUGACGGUAGCUUACCAAAAGGGACGGCUAAUUCGUGCCCCAUCCCGGUAAUACGAUGUGCCGAGAGUUUUCUUGUAUAAUGGGACAGAGCGAGCGCGGAGAUUUAAGAAUCGAAGAUAAAGAGGUGGUGAACCCAUUUUUUUUUGUAAUGUUCGAGUCGCCCACUAGCGUG